This is a non-coding RNA of Salmo salar (Atlantic salmon), 456 nucleotides long. The record is from RefSeq and is a predicted model, not a curated record. Lineage: Eukaryota; Metazoa; Chordata; Actinopteri; Salmoniformes; Salmonidae.
GAAAUGUAUGCAUUCACUACUGUAAGUCGCUCUGGAUAAGAGCGUCUGCUAAAAUGACUAAAAUGUAAAUGUUAAUAACUGAUCUAGGAUCAGUUUCCUCCCUCCAGUCCUAACAGGUCACCAUUAGAGAGGUGAUAUAUAUAUAUAUAUAACUGAUCUAGGACCAGUCCUAACAGGUCACCAUUAGAGAGGUGAUAUAUAUAUAUAUAUAUGACUGAUCUAGGAUCAGUCCUAACGGGUCACCAUUAGAGAGGUGAUAUAUAUAUAUAUAUAUAUAACUGAUCUAGGACCAGUGUUGAACAGGUCACCAUUAGAGAGGUGAUAUAUAUAUAUAUAUAUAUAUAACUGAUCUAGGACCAGUGUUAAACAGAGCUGAAUGUCUGUCUGGUUCAUACCAUUUAUGAUGCUGAUGUAUUGUUAUUAUAAUGACAUUAAAUUAUUGAAUGUUUCUGUCGA